Molecule: transfer RNA, 85 nt
Filed under: Felis catus (domestic cat)
Lineage: Eukaryota; Metazoa; Chordata; Mammalia; Carnivora; Felidae
Rfam family: tRNA
About the family: Transfer RNA (tRNA) molecules are approximately 80 nucleotides in length.
Source: Rfam by way of RNAcentral
ACCUGGGUGGCUCAGUCGGUUAAGUGUCUGACUUCGGCUCAGGUCAUGAUCUCGCGGUUCGUGAGUUUGAGCCCCACCUCAGGCU